Non-coding RNA from Sus scrofa (pig), 4914 nucleotides. The record is from RefSeq and is a predicted model, not a curated record. NCBI's taxonomy places the organism in Eukaryota, Metazoa, Chordata, Mammalia, Artiodactyla, Suidae.
GACCAAAAAAAAAAAAAAAAAGAAAAGAAAGAAAAUGAAGAUUCACUUGAAAAAUAUUGACAAUACUAAGUAUCAGUAAGGAGUGGUUAUUAAUGGUGCUCCAGUGGAACAACUGGAAUUCUGAUAUAUUGCUAAUGAGAAUGUACAGUGGUAGAGCCAUUUUGGAAAACUGGUAAGUUUUAGAAAAUCAAACCCACUCUUAACUGUAUCACCCUGUCUUCCUCUCCUCUGCAUUCACUCCAAAGAACUGAAAACAUAUGGCAAUACCAAGGUUUGAACACCAAUGUUCAUAGCAACAUUAUUCAUAUUAGCCCUCAACUGGAAACACCCCAAGUGUCCCUUAGCAGGUGAGUGAAUAGACACAUUGUAGUGUAUCCAUGUGGUGGAAUACUACUCAGCACUAAAAAUGAACAAACUGCUGAGAUAUGCAAAACUGAUCAGCCUAAAAAUGUUAAAAAUACGCUAAACAGAAGAAGCCACCCACAGAGAGUACAUACUCUGUUCUUCUAUUUAUAGGAUAUUCUGGAAGUGGGGAAAUUGUAGGGAGAGGAAACAGAUCAGUUGUUACAAUGGGCUGAGGGGUGAAGAGACUGAUGACCAAGGGGACAAGGGUGAUAGAAAACUUUUAAAUCUUCAUCAGAGUAGUGAUUACAUGUAUGAUUUGUCAAAACCCAUUGAAGUGGCUGCAUUUAUUGGAUGUAAAUUAUGUCUCCAGAAAGUUGAUUCUUUAAAGGGCAUCAGGAUACAGCUUGGAAGCAGUUACCCAUUUAUCUCCAGAGACCCCUAAUGAGGAUACAUUGCUGUGUCCACCCUGGGGCCACAGGAACCUAUCAGCUCAGGAGCAUUGGAUUGAUCUGGGUGAGAAGAAGCUUAUCUUCAAUAGGAUUGGGAAGCAGGACAGACAAUUAUCUGAGUUUGGUAAGUGUGUACUUUCAAGUGGUUCAUGGGACAAAAUCCUUGGGUGGAUAUAAUGGGAAAUUAACCAGUGUCUGCCUGAUACUUAAUUUCUGAGUAAGUAAACCCUAUCCAAAGGGCUCUGUGCCUCAUAGUCGCUGCCUCCAGGCUUUACCUAGUAAGUCAUUUAUAGUAAGAUUGUGACAGGUUGGGCAUAGAAGUGAUUGUUUGAAGCAAGGUAUGUAAAUGAGCUCAGCUUGGUGGGGAAGACAGCUCUCCAGACUACCUCACGUAACCUGCUCACUCCUAAUCUGGGGUCAUAUCUGUUUCUAGAAAAGUUCCUGGAGAAAUUAGCUGUAUGUUUUAAACCACUGCCACUGUCUACUUAGGAGAUAAGUAAACUUUGUUUUGCUCUUGGAAUGCGGGCAAGCUUGUGGUAUAAGUUAGGAGCAAUAAUUAUGGUAACAUGGAUAUGGGAAUGGCAAUUAUCUUAACAAGUGUGUAGUUUUGAUUUGUUAAAGCAGCCCCUACAUUUUACUAGGUCCUAGGAGAUCAAAUACAUUUGGGAAAUGCUACACUUUGUGACGCCCUCUUGAUGAUCCAGAAAGAAUAUUUGAUCAUUAGAGUUUAAAAGCACUGUAUUUAAAAAAGGAAAACAGUAUUCCCCAAUCUUUCAUGAUCGAAUCUUCCUUUUUUUUUUUUUUUCCUUACCUUUUGCUUCCCACACAGGACAUUUUAAAAUUUCACAGAACACACUUCAGAAAACGCUAUGUAAAAUGAAAAGAUUUAAUUGCUACGGACACACUCCCCAAAAGUCACUGGUCUUGGUGCCACAUGUGUGAAGUGAUGACACAUGACACACUGAAAUAACUUUUAGGGACACUGCUGGUUUUAAUUCACUAAUUUUAUAUCUAUACAAAAUUUGGUACCAAAAUGAUCACGUGGAAAAGCAGGAUGAUGCUGGCAACAUAAACCACUCUGGGACAAUUAGCCACCUGGCCUUCAAUAGAUGCAGUGGACUAACUGGUUUGCAUGCUGGUGAAGGCUGGAACUAUUUCAGUGUUUCUCCUUGAUAUCAUUUGUGGAGGAAAUUUUUUUAGACAUAAUUUUAGGGGCAAAAAUAGGAAUAUUAAAAGAACAUCUGAACUCUUCCUCAAAGUUAAUGUUUAGAAAACUUCUCAGUGACUGGCACAAAUUUGUUUGAUCUAAGCCAUUAUUUCAGCUUUCAAAGGUGCAAAUAACACAUCCACUGUACAUCCUUGUUCCAUAAUUCUGAUUUUCUUUAUGAGAAGUUUUCUCCUUAUUUACCUGAAAGGGUUAGAUAUUUAAUUUCGUCAAGAGGUAUUUAAGUAUAAUUUUAUGAUUUCUUUUUACACGCAUGUCCUCAAUUAAGAGGACAUGCAUGUUCUUGAUAAUCAUCAGUUGACCCUUGUCAGUGGCUUUGGAAAAAACAUGUACAUGAAGUCGAUGAAGAAACUGUGCUGUGAUCAUCUGAAGGACAGCUAGGGGAAUCACAUAUCAUGUUGGAUGUUACCAAAGGAUGACUGGAAAGAAAGAAGAAGGGAGGAAAGAAACAGGAAGGAAAGAAGGGAGGAAAGGAAGGAAGAAGGUGCAAUCUGGAUUUCAUGCUCAUUAUAAUAAGGAUUGUCCAAGGGGCUCAUUAAUUUUAAAAAUGCUUACUACAUUGCCCCUGCUGAAGCUUGUUAAUGAGAACUCUAUUACGAUUUUGUGUUGCAGUGUUUGUAAAAUGCUAUGUGACAAGUUCCACAUCUGUGCCCUGUUGGUGACCCUGCCCAGCUGCGCUGAAGGGGACUCCUGGGGCUUUGAGAGGACGUAGGGGCCCAGGCCCCACUCGUCAUGGAGACCCUCAUGUGAUUCUGUGUCCAGAUGAAUGUAGACCCACUGGACUACCAUUCUCACCAUUAAAGAAUUAGUCUGUAUAGUCUUGUGAAUGCUAAAUAAUAACAUUUAUGUCUAUUGGAGAAACGUUUCAUUAGAACAAAUACACAUUUUUGAAAUAAAUGCUCUGCUGGGGUUGAUCACAGGGGGAAAAUCCUAAAAUACCCCAGUAAGUACUCUCAUCACUCUGUACGCCAUCAAUUCUCAGAAAAAUUGAAAUGUAUAUGUAAAUCUAUGUAAAUUAUACAGCCUGAUAAUUAGCAUCUUGAGGUUCUUUUGGUAAAUUUCUCUUAAGCUUUAGCUAGGUAGCUCUAAAUUCUAAAAUUGACUGCAGACGGAAAAUACUUUCCAAUUCGGGUGUUUUCUCUGAACUAAAUAAUUAAGUAGCUCAGUUGAUUUUAACAGCCUUUAGGUAAGGAAGGAGUAAAAUGGUAAUAUCCUCAUUAGGGGAUAAUAUGUUCGUGCAGGAGAAGAAUUCACAAGAAUUCACAAAGAUGAAAGGUCGAUAAAUGGAAAUGAUUCCUUAAGUUUGAGUGCUCUGGACUGUGCCAUGGUGUAAAGCACAGGAAGUUUUAGUGUCUCCAUACAUUUGGCAGUAAUCCAAAAUGGUUCAUUCUAAUGCAGAAGGUACCAUCUCUCUUAAUCUCUAGAGGUUAAAAAAAAAGUUUGGAAAUAAAAUGCAUUCUUUAGAAUGUUUUCUUUUUUAUACUAGAUAAAAAAUGAACCAAAUGUAUUUGUAGAGUGUGAUCAUUUAACUUUGCCUCUGAAUUACUGAAAAGGGUACAAGAGCUAUUUCUAAUAUUGCCCGUCAAGCUGGAGGCUUUUCUCUACUUUUCGUCUUCUUUUUGGGUCAUAUUUGCUUCAGCUACAUUGGGAGACUAUAAAGGCUCAGAUAACCAACUGCAAGGUUAACUAUUUUGCAAUGUUAUCGAUCAACUGAAUAGAAUUUUAGGUUCCAAACUCUUGAUACCAAAAAUCACUUUUAAUUUGCCCGUUUAAUUUGUGGGAUGAUCCAUUCAUUCAAAAUGUCCCAUGAAGGUUUGUGGGUUAAUUAAAUAGCUCAUCUGGUAGAAAUCCCAGUGUUCAAAGGACACAGUUAAUCCAAUCUUCAAAGGAUAUAAAAAUAAGAUAAACACAAAGAAAUAGAAAAUAAACGAACAUAAAAUGAUGCCAUAUUUUCUUCCCGUAAACUUGUCAUGGUUCUCUUCAAAUGUCACUUGAUGUUUUUUUCAUAUUUAGGAUGAAAAGAUAAGAAGAGAAAAGUAGAAAACACGUUCAAGUAGUUAGUAUUAAAAAGUUUCAGUGAUGUUGAAAAGCAGAAGAUUGCACUUAUAGAAUGCUGAUGUGGCAGAGUGUAUAAACAUGUGCCUCAAGACAGAAAGACAGAUGUUCAAUUAACAGAAGUUUUCUUUUGCUGUUUGGUUUUGGGGUUCUGUGUCAAUCCUGAAAGCUCAGGAAAGGAGACAAGAAUAUUUAUGAAGGGAAACAGAUUUUACCCAACAAUCCCUGAACAACAUUUAUCAUGUUAAGAUGUGUCCUUGAGUAAAAAGCCAGGUAGACAAACUGGGGAGGCUUUAAAAAUAAAUGCAUUGUGUUUGAGAAUUACAGCCAAGAUUUCCCACUCAAGAUGGUAGACAGAGCACUUACACCCAUGCUCCUGCAAUCAGAGUCCCUCUGAAAUCACUAAAAGGAUAUUUUUAAAACUAUGUGACCAUAAGUGUACCCACCAGCGGCCCAGAAAUAUUAAGGACCAUAUGGAUGAUGGAAGUGAAUGGGAUAAAAUUAAUUGGAGGAAGAAAAAGAGAAAAACAUAACUGAAGAAAUAACACACGACCAAGAAGAGUCAGAUCUUUGAGGGAAACAAAGAACAAGUCAGAUACACACAUACAUACAUAUAUCUGUGGAUGUGCUGAAUUUUAAAAUUGGACAAAACGGAGGAGGAAGAUUAUUGAUCUGGAAGGUAAAGUUAAGGAAAUAUCUUAUAAUAUUGACCAGAAAACAGAGAUUAAAAAUUAAAGUGAAAAGCCGUGACGGAUAGAUACAGGGCACUGAAGACGUUUCCAAUAAGAGUUCCAACUAUAGAAGUUCCCAUUGUGGCUCAGCAGAAAUGAAUCUGACUAG